This 393-nucleotide unclassified non-coding RNA is filed under the name uncultured fungus. Its description in RNAcentral is "partial contains small subunit ribosomal RNA, internal transcribed spacer 1, and 5.8S ribosomal RNA". The stretch from base 1 to 73 matches the Rfam family "Eukaryotic small subunit ribosomal RNA", at positions 1759 to 1831 of the family's 1831-position model. The record is from RNAcentral. Lineage: Eukaryota; Fungi.
ACAAACUUGGUCAUUUAGAGGAAGUAAAAGUCGUAACAAGGUUUCCGUAGGUGAACCUGCGGAAGGAUCAUUAUCGAAUACUACUUGAUGGGUUGUCGCUGGCCUCUAGGGGCAUGUGCACGCCUGUCUUAGUUCUAUUCAUCCACCUGUGCACUAACUGUAGUCUUUGAGGGCUGAGAAUGGGCUUGUACUUUAUCAGUUGAAAAACUGGAUGGGAGAAUUGCCUGUAUGGGGCUUUCCUCAGCAAGAGUUCAUGACCUCCCUUGGAGUCUAUGUCUUUAUAAACCACAUUAGUAUGAUGCAGAAUGUAUUCAUAAAGGCCUCGUGCCUAUAAAACACUAUACAACUUUCAGCAACGGAUCUCUUGGCUCUCGCAUCGAUGAAGAACGCAGC